UUUUGACUUGUUAACUACUGGAACUCGAUCCUCAUGUAAUACAGAAAAAGUGUAACAGUGAUACCAACGACCUUAGUAAAGUGCAAGCUGUGAAUAGCCCUGGAGAAGUUGAGCAGCCUGAAAAGAGAAAACUGUUGGUAUGCCAGCUGCUUACUUCCAAUGCAGCUAACAGCUACAGAAACACUGGAGCAAGGCAUACAGUUUACAUUAAAACUCAGGGAGGAAGAAGGCUGACUUACUUGAAGGAGAGGAGAAAACAGCAUCAGCUGAAGGAUCUGGGGACUGUCCGCCACCUCUUCUGCCAGAUGGGUGAAAGCUGUGUCCUUCCUGCAGUGGCUCCACACUGCUGGGUUCUCGCCCUUAAAGCACUAAUUAUGAGGGAGAAAUGUAGCUGUAUACAAUCAAUUCCCUAUUAAACAUCCUCUCCUGUUAUUUAAUGUUGAACUGAUGCAGAGCUUAAUGACUCAUUGCUUUCAGACAAAUAAUAAAUAUACCACACAGAGGCAUUUCAGAGGCACUGGGACUCCUCCUGAAUUUGAAUGGAAUCUAACAAAUAGAUCCAGAUGAAACAAUGCAGAGAAAGAAAAAUGAAAUGUCAAAACACUUCAUUUUAGUAUUUUCAAAAUGGAGCAUUUAAUUCUAGAACUGCCAAAACACUUCAAUUUCAAAACAAAGACUUUUAGCUGUCCAUUUUAAAUUUGGCCUAGAUUUAAAAAGAAAAAAGCUUUAAAAUGUGUGAAAUGGCCCAAGACCAAAAAUAAAGCUGUUCUUUGAAGCUGAACAAAAAAGAUACUUUUCCUGAUGAUAAUUAUUUUUUGUU
This 820-nucleotide long non-coding RNA is filed under the name Gallus gallus (chicken). RNAcentral describes it as "long non-coding RNA NONGGAT009232". The record is from RNAcentral. Lineage: Eukaryota; Metazoa; Chordata; Aves; Galliformes; Phasianidae.